This 21-nucleotide non-coding RNA is filed under the name Caenorhabditis elegans. The record is from RNAcentral. Lineage: Eukaryota; Metazoa; Nematoda; Chromadorea; Rhabditida; Rhabditidae.
UAGGAUUUUCGAAAAUGUUAC